Homo sapiens (human) is the source of this 1184-nucleotide long non-coding RNA. Ensembl annotates it as long intergenic non-protein coding RNA 710. NCBI's taxonomy places the organism in Eukaryota, Metazoa, Chordata, Mammalia, Primates, Hominidae. The record is from Ensembl.
AGAUACGCCCCUUGGAUGCCUGCAGAGAAGCUCUGGGGCUUCAGUCAAUGACUCAGGGUAGCCACCGAACAUGAUGCUCGGGCAGUGGGUGCCACCUGGACUCCACUCUCCCCUCUCUCUGGGAUCAUAGAGUCCAAGGUGUUCUGUGGCCUCUCGGCCAAUCCCAGCAGCUCAGCGUGCAGAAGACCGAGGAGCCAUUGGUCAGUGUAGGAGGUGCCUGGAGUUUUGGAGAUGGGAUCCACAGGAAUUCAACACAACACGAAAUAAUCAACAAAUUCGGGGAAUGUUAAUCUGACCAUCACCAGUUACAAAUGAUGUUUCAUGCUACCUUCUAUUCCUGCCUUCAUAAAUCAAGGAAAAGAAAAAGAGAACAUAUAUCCCCCUACCUUUUGAUUUCCAACAGUCUACUGAGAGGCCAAGAUUAUUUGCAGGGAAAGAAAAGGGGUCAAAAUGUUUUGCCAGUAACUCCCAAAUCAUCUACAGCCAAGGAGAAAAGUGUUUCAAGACAGAGGUGCUCAAUGGUAUCAAAUACUGCCAACAGACCAAGUAAUACAUGCAUUGAAGUGUCUACUGGAUCUAGCUAUAUGAUUCCACAGCUGUUUUAUAGUAACUCAGAGUUUGAAGAGAAAUUACUCCUGCAGUACCAGUUUCCAAAAUGCUUUGUAGCAUCUUCUCAAAAAACAAAUGGGAAGAAGCCAAUCAGAAAUAAGGAAUUUUUAAUUUAGGACACUUAGGCCAUACUGAAGCAAGGUGACAAAAUGAAUAGCUACAAUGUCUCGUGAAUCUUGGGUUUCCAUUCACCCUGGUAUUCAAGAGAAAUUCUUGCAUCAUGGAAGUUGCAGUUGGAUAGGACUUUCUCAGCUGAACACUGUCAUCUGCCAGAGCUUCAGGCAAGAACCCAGAACAGAUGAAACCCCAGACAUGACAAAAUAAGCCAAAGAAUACCAGGCCAAGGUGUGAAAGGCCAGAUGAGAACAAGCAGCGUACACGAUUCUGUUGCCAACAGAUCUCCCCUAACAGUGUCGUGCACCAAAUUUCCACAGUGAAUGUCAGGAAAAAAUGGCAAUUGAGGUGGGUGGUCAAAAGAGAAGCACAGUCUAUGAUGAAGUCACCCCAGAGAAGUCCUUUUUCCGUUUUCUCCUGAGAAAUUACCAGAAGAAAUUAAAAUCCUUUUGAGUAUUGCA